CUUGGUCAUUUAGAGGAAGUAAAAGUCGUAACAAGGUUUCCGUAGGUGAACCUGCGGAAGGAUCAUUAUUGAAAUUAUAGGUGAGGGUUGUAGCUGGCCUCUCGGGGCAUGUGCACGCCCGAGCCCUUAAUCCACACACACCUGUGAACCUAUUGUAAGGGCCCUUAAAAAAGGCCUUUACGUCUUAUCAUCAACCCAUCGUAUGUCUCAUAGAAUGUAAAUAUAUGUCCUCGCCUUAAAAAGCGUUGAUAAACUUAUACAACUUUCAACAACGGAUCUCUUGGCUCUCGCAUCGAUGAAGAACGCAGCGAAAUGCGAUAAGUAAUGUGAAUUGCAGAUUUUCAGUGAAUCAUCGAAUCUUUGAACGCACCUUGCGCUCCUUGGUAUUCCGAGGAGCAUGCCUGUUUGAGUGUCAUUAAAUUCUCAACUCUGAUCGAUUUGUUUCGACUUCGGAGCUUGGAUUUGGAGCGUGCUGGCGUCGGUCGGCUCCUCUUAAAUGCAUCAGCGGAAUCUAACGUUUCGGACGUCAGUGUGAUAAUCAUGUUGCGCUGUCUGUCUGAUCCGAAAGCCCGCUCACAAUGGUCUUCGGACAACUUCAUAUCAAAUUUGACCUCAAAUCAGGUAGGACUACCCGCUGAACUUAAGCAUAUCAAUAAGCGGAGGA
RNAcentral lists this ribosomal RNA (664 nucleotides) under uncultured Piloderma. RNAcentral's name for it is "eukaryotic LSU rRNA". The stretch from base 261 to 415 matches the Rfam family "5.8S ribosomal RNA". Lineage: Eukaryota; Fungi; Basidiomycota; Agaricomycetes; Atheliales; Atheliaceae. The record is from RNAcentral.